CCAAUCCUCCUCAGGUUUGGGAACUCGAAUGCCAUUAACCACAUGUGAUGGUUCUUGUGGUCCCUUGACUAUAACCCUCCACAAGGCAUAGUCUUGUGCUUGAAUGAAGAUUCUCAUUCUAGUCUUCCAAUAGGUAUAAUUUGUCCCAUUGAAGAGUGGAUGUCUAUUGGUUGCUUGCCCCUCGGCAGAGACAUUGUUAAAGGGUGUUGCCAUCUAGAUCUUUGGCUAAGACGGUUAAGUCUUUCAAGAAAUACACAGAGCACCAGCUCUGAUACCACUUGUUGCCCAGAGAUGGUCACCCAAGAGGGGGGUGAAUUGGGUGUUUUAAAAACUUUUGACUAAUUAAAAAUAAAACACACUAAUAUAUGCACUAAAGUAAAGGAGGAGGAAUGAGAAAGGUCAAUCGCAAACACAAGGUUUUAUAGUGGUUCGGAGCUUCCACUGCUCCUACAUCCACUCUCCAAAUCACCUUUGGGAAUUUUCACUAUAAUCCACGAUUACAGUACGGUAGUUUUGCGAGUUUACUACCCAACUCGUUGUUUUACACCGGGCUCACAACAAACCCUAAAACCCCCAAUUUCACUUAGGCUUGGGACGCCUUUCCCUUGUUCCAAGUUCCUUGACUGGAACAAGCACCACAACGAAAGAGUUUACAAAAGAAAGGAAAAGCUCUAAAAAGCAAAUAUUGCAAUUAUGAACAAUAGAACCCGGAAGAAUCCUUUUGCCGUUGGAAGCGUGGGAGAUAUUGAUUCUUCCGAUGUGGAGCGCGUAGGAUUGAGUGUGAGCUUUUAAUC
Molecule: long non-coding RNA, 794 nt
Filed under: Phoenix dactylifera (date palm)
Lineage: Eukaryota; Viridiplantae; Streptophyta; Magnoliopsida; Arecales; Arecaceae
Description: long non-coding RNA (PDAC_LNC017971)
Source: RNAcentral